AAUCCUGGCUCAGGAUGAACGCUAGCUACAGGCUUAACACAUGCAAGUCGAGGGGCAGCAUGGUCUUAGCUUGCUAAGGCCGAUGGCGACCGGCGCACGGGUGAGUAACACGUAUCCAACCUGCCGUCUACUCUUGGACAGCCUUCUGAAAGGAAGAUUAAUACAAGAUGGCAUAAUGAGUUCACAUGUUCACAUGAUUAAAGGUAUUCCGGUAGACGAUGGGGAUGCGUU
Molecule: ribosomal RNA, 231 nt
Filed under: uncultured bacterium
Lineage: Bacteria
Description: partial 16S ribosomal RNA
Rfam family: Bacterial small subunit ribosomal RNA
Source: RNAcentral